UCUUCUGUGGUGUAGUUGGUAGCACCUAGGUACAGUAAAUAUGUGUCCUGGGUUCAAGUCCCAGUCGGGGUAA
Non-coding RNA from Halocaridina rubra (Hawaiian volcano shrimp), 73 nucleotides. The record is from the annotation of a GenBank genome assembly. Lineage: Eukaryota; Metazoa; Arthropoda; Malacostraca; Decapoda; Atyidae.